CAUAGGUAACCUACCUUUAAGUCUGGGACAACUUCUCGAAAGGGGAGCUAAUACCGGAUACGCUCUUUUUAGCGCAAGUUUUAAAGAGGAAAGAUUUAUCACUUAUUGAGGGGCUUAUGCCUGAUUAGCUAGUUGGUGGGGUAAUGGCCUACCAAGGCUUUGAUCAGUAGCUGGUCUGAGAGGACGAACAGCCACACUGGGACUGAGACACGGCCCAGACUCCUACGGGAGGCAGCAGUGGGGAAUCUUGCGCAAUGGGGGAAACCCUGACGCAGCGACGCCGCGUGGGCGAUGAAGUCUUUCGGGAUGUAAAGCCCUGUCAAGUGGGACGAUUAUGACGGUACCACUAAAGGAAGCCCCGGCUAAUUACGUGCCAGCAGCCGCGGUAAUACGUAAGGGGCGAGCGUUAUCCGGAUUUAUUGGGCAUAAAGCGCACGUAGGCGGUCUUUUAAGUCAGAUGUUAAAUCCUUCAGCUCAACUGAAGUGCUGCAUUUGAAACUGAAUGACUAGAGUACAGGAGAGGAAAGCGGAACUCACGGUGUAGCGGUGAAAUGCGUAGAUAUCGUGAGGAACACCAGUUGCGAAGGCGGCUUUCUGGACUGUUACUGACGCUCAGGUGCGAAAGCGUGGGGAGCAAACGGGAUUAGAUACCCCGGUAGUCACGCUGUAACGUGU
RNAcentral lists this ribosomal RNA (675 nucleotides) under uncultured bacterium. RNAcentral describes it as "bacterial SSU rRNA". It matches the Rfam family "Bacterial small subunit ribosomal RNA", at positions 116 to 810 of the family's 1533-position model. The record is from RNAcentral.